UACGUAGGGUGCGAGCGUUAAUCGGAAUUACUGGGCGUAAAGCGUGCGCAGGCGGUUUUGUAAGCCAGAUGUGAAAGCCCCGGGCUCAACCUGGGAAUGGCAUUUGGGACUGCAUGGCUGGAGUGUGGCAGAGGGGGAUGGAAUUCCGCGUGUAGCAGUGAAAUGCGUAGAUAUGCGGAGGAACACCGAUGGCGAAGGCAAUCCCCUGGGCCUGCACUGACGCUCAUGCACGAAAGCGUGGGGAGCAAACAGG
This 253-nucleotide ribosomal RNA is filed under the name uncultured bacterium. RNAcentral's name for it is "partial 16S ribosomal RNA". It matches the Rfam family "Bacterial small subunit ribosomal RNA", at positions 524 to 776 of the family's 1533-position model. The record is from RNAcentral.